GUGCUUACCUGGCUGCAGUCGGAGUCGUGCCGUUUCAAGGUAUUUGUGGGCACCCGUGUAGCUGAAAUUCAGGAGCUCACGGAACCCAGUGCCUGGCGGUAUGUGGACUCCUCACUGAAUCCAGCCGAUGAUGUCACGCGGGGUAAGACUCUUGGGGAGCUCGCCGUGCCUAAUCACUGGAGUCAAGGGCCCCCUUUCCUCCUCAAGGGACCCCACGAAUGGCCAUCUCAAUUACCUAGGCUGCCUGAUUCAGAUUUGUCAGAGUACAGGAAGUCAGUUUCCUGUGGUAUUGUGACUAACGGUGACUGGCCAUGUUCUCUACAGGGUGGCCAACACACUUGGAAGGAUCUGGUUGAGGCUACGGUGCGUGAGCUUCACGGGGCGGCAGGACUGGGUAGUGAGGUUACUGCUUCAGACUAUCAUCAAGCAGAAAUGAUCAUCUACAAGAGAAUCCAGCAGGACUGCUUCCCAGAAGAACUGCUCCACCUCAAGAAGGGCAAGUCAGUACCAAAUAGUAGUCGACUACUUACCUUGUCCCCAGAGUUAGACCCUGAGGAUGCGAUCAUACGUGUUGGUGGUAGAUUGCGGCGGGCUGAAGCUCUCGAUUCUGCUUUUAAACACCCGAUCGUCUUGGAUCCCAGUCAUCCAGCCACCAAGCUCCUUAUACAGGACUAUGACACUCGUCUCUGUCACCCUGGACCUGAACGGGUUUACGCAGAAAUGCGUCGCACUUUCUGGAUACUGCGCGGGAGAGAGGCAAUUCGUCAUAUACAACAUCUCUGUAAGGAGUGUAGGAGAUGGAAGGCCAAGCCAUCGGUGCCCAAGAUGUCAGACUUACCAGUGGCCCGUCUGCGUUUAUAUAAGCCAGCCUUCUAUUCCACGGGUGUGGACUGUUUUGGGCCUUUCCAGGUGAAGUUGGGACGCCGCUCUGAGAAGAGAUGGGGCAUUAUUUACAAAUGUCUCACCACACGAGCGGUGCACCUGGACCUCUUACACAGCUUGGAUUCAGACUCGUUUCUAAUGAGCCUCAGGAGAUUCAUUGCCCGUAGAGGUACGCCAGCUGAACUCUACUCGGAUCAGGGCACAAAUUUCAAGGCAGGAGAGAAAGAGCUUCGUGAGACAUUUGAUGGUCUAUCCUCAGAGCUUCAGCAACUUCUAGCGAAGCAGAAGAUUACUUUCCACCUCAACCCCCCAGCAGCACCCCAUUUUGGUGGGGCAUGGGAGCGAGAGAUAAGAUCAGUCAAAUCUGCUUUGUAUACAGUUAUAGGAGCUCAGCCAGUCUUUGAAGAAGUACUCCGUACCGUCUUGUUGGAAGUCGAGGCGAUACUGAACACAAAGCCACUGGGAUAUACCUCAGCCAAUAUAGCAGAUCUGGAUGCAAUCACUCCGAACAUCCUCUUGAUGGGGCGGCUAGAUGGUGCUUUGCCCCAGGUGGUAUACAACAAGAGUGAAGGCUUGAGUAGGAGAAGAUGGAGGCACUGUCAGGUCUUGGCAGACCACUUCUGGUCUAGGUUUAUCAGGUACUACUUACCCACCCUGCAGCCUCGACAGAAGUGGCAUACCACCAAUGUGGAUCUUGCAGUCAACUCUGUUGUUCUGAUGAUGGACCCACAGCUUCCCAGGGCUCUUUGGCCAGUCGGCAGAGUGACUAAGGUACAUCAGAGUGUUGAUGGUUGUGUAAGGUCAGCCGAUGUCCGGAUCAAGGACAAAGUCUACACCAGACCAGUUGCCCGUCUCAUUGCCCUUCCAGCUAUCCCAGAUUCAUAAUGGAUUCCAUCGUAGUGCCUAUGGAAGCGGCUGAGCAGUGAGCCUUUCUCAGGAGCAAAUUGCAUGCAAUUUGGGGGCGGCUGUGUGAAAGUCUCACUAAUGACACUGAUUUACGACGUGGAUGGAUAAGAGCGCUCUCGUCCCGGUUGCGGGGACUCUUAUUUUGACGGAACGCAGCUCAUACGGUGGGGUGCUUCAGAGUGCGCGCGCGCCGCGAUCCAGUCUUGCAUCAGCCGUCAUCUUCAGAGAGAACGAGCUGUGAAAUUCCCUGACUAAAUUCAGUUUGAUCUUCGUUAUGUUCCUAUGAGUGUUUAAAGUUGUGUGCGUCCAGAGAGAAAACCACACACUCAUAUGCUGACACUCCUCAGGACAUACAGCAAAGACGAUACCACUUAGUACCCAUAUACAUGCUCAUCUUCGAUCUGUGCACAGAGAGCACUGUUUAAUACAGCUCAUUAGGAUCUGGCUCCCCCUCUUCAUAUGCUUGUAUAAAUAAAUCUGUUAAACUGGAUUCCUUCUCCGACUUUGGUGUUCUUACCGACACACCCGGACCAGCUUCACAUCAUUAGCAACAGCUAGUCCCUUACAGUCCUUAGCCCCU
This is a long non-coding RNA of Cyprinus carpio carpio, 2368 nucleotides long. The record is from Ensembl. NCBI's taxonomy places the organism in Eukaryota, Metazoa, Chordata, Actinopteri, Cypriniformes, Cyprinidae.